RNAcentral lists this ribosomal RNA (303 nucleotides) under uncultured bacterium. Its description in RNAcentral is "partial 16S ribosomal RNA". It matches the Rfam family "Bacterial small subunit ribosomal RNA", at positions 507 to 808 of the family's 1533-position model. The record is from RNAcentral.
AGCAGUCGCCGCGGUAAUACGUAGGUCCCGAGCGUUGUCCGGAUUUAUUGGGCGUAAAGCGAGCGCAGGCGGUUAGAUAAGUCUGAAGUUAAAGGCUGUGGCUUAACCAUAGUAUGCUUUGGAAACUGUUUAACUUGAGUGCAGAAGGGGAGAGUGGAAUUCCAUGUGUAGCGGUGAAAUGCGUAGAUAUAUGGAGGAACACCGGUGGCGAAAGCGGCUCUCUGGUCUGUAACUGACGCUGAGGCUCGAAAGCGUGGGGAGCAAACAGGAUUAGAUACCCGGGUAGUCCCUGUCUCUUAUACA